CUCAGUUCAGAUUGCAGGCUGCAACUCGCCUGCAUGAAGUCGGGAAUUGCUAGUAAUCGUAGGUCAGCAUACUACGGUGAAUACGUUCCCGGGCCUUGUACACACCGCCCGUCAAACCAUGAGAGUUGGCAACACCCGAAGUCGGUAGUCUAACCGCAAGGAGGACGCCGCCGAAGGUGGGGGUUGAUGAUUAGGGUUAAGUCGUAACAAGGUACC
Molecule: ribosomal RNA, 216 nt
Filed under: uncultured bacterium
Lineage: Bacteria
Description: partial 16S ribosomal RNA
Rfam family: Bacterial small subunit ribosomal RNA
Source: RNAcentral